UACGGAGGGGACUAGCGUUGUUCGGAAUUACUGGGCGUAAAGCGCACGUAGGCGGAUUUGUAAGUCAGGGGUGAAAUCCCGGGGCUCAACCUCGGAACUGCCUUUGAUACUGCAAAUCUCGAGUCCGGAAGAGGUGAGUGGAAUUCCUAGUGUAGAGGUGAAAUUCGUAGAUAUUAGGAAGAACACCCGUGGCGAAGGCGGCUCUCUGGAACGCAACUGACGCUGAGACGACGAAAGCGGUGGGGAGCAAACAGG
Molecule: ribosomal RNA, 255 nt
Filed under: uncultured bacterium
Lineage: Bacteria
Description: partial 16S ribosomal RNA
Rfam family: Bacterial small subunit ribosomal RNA
Source: RNAcentral